CGGAGGGUGCAAGCGUUAUCCGGAUUCACUGGGUUUAAAGGGUGCGUAGGAGGGCAGGUAAGUCAGUGGUGAAAUCUCCAAGCUUAACUUGGAAACUGCCGUUGAUACUAUCUGUCUUGAAUAUUGUGGAGGUGAGCGGAAUAUGUCAUGUAGCGGUGAAAUGCUUAGAUAUGACAUAGAACACCAAUUGCGAAGGCAGCUCACUACACAAUCAUUGACUCUGAGGCACGAAGGCGUGGGGAUCAAACAGGAUUAGAUACCCUGGUAGUCCACGCCCUAAACUAUGGAUACUCGACAUACGCGAUAUACUGUGUGUGUCUGAGCGAAAGCAUUAAGUAUCCCACCUGGGAAGUACGACCGCAAGGUUG
Molecule: ribosomal RNA, 368 nt
Filed under: uncultured organism
Description: bacterial SSU rRNA
Rfam family: Bacterial small subunit ribosomal RNA
Source: RNAcentral